This is a long non-coding RNA of Papaver somniferum (opium poppy), 4024 nucleotides long. RefSeq lists it as uncharacterized. NCBI's taxonomy places the organism in Eukaryota, Viridiplantae, Streptophyta, Magnoliopsida, Ranunculales, Papaveraceae. The record is from RefSeq and is a predicted model, not a curated record. The transcript has 8 exons.
AAUGCAUAAUAGUCAGUUCUUAAGAGUGAAAUGUCCUCUUUUUUCAUAUCGAGGAAAAGGAAAAGUUCUUCUGCGUCCGCCAUCUCUUCCGUUCUUAUGAAUUCUCUCUGAAACCUCAUGCAAUUUUUCAUCAACACUAUUUCUCUGAGGAAUUCCAUUGAAGCAAAGCUAUUGGGAUGAUAGUGCUGAUACUUUAGGUUUCUUUUCGUAAAGAGAAGUUGUAAAUCCAUAACAAGAAAUUCGAUCUCUAUUAACCUAAAAUUGUUGCUUUUUCUUUGGUACUGCAACAACAACACUAAAUUAUUCCCGUGAAUUAUAUCAAUUUGGAAAGAAAUUAUGCUUUUUGCCGUAAAGUUAUGGCGGAGAAAACGAAGAGAGACUCAAAUUGUAGGGCUAUCUUUUUUGAAAACAUGGCUACAGCAGCAAUCGAUGAUUCUGGGUUGUCGAUAUAUCCCUAUGGUUCCUGGCUGUUUGAAUUCAACGCGUAAAAUAGCCUUUUCACCUGUCUAUUUUUUUUUUUGAUACAAGAACGAUGUUCCGACGAAUUUUCACCUGUUCCUCUCCGAUCAAAUUUUGCUUUUACGCAGGAACCUUGAAUUGCUUUACAAAAAAAAAAAAAGGAACCUUGAUUUUUUGAUUGUCUGUCUCUUUUAUUUUGAUUCAUCCUUACUUCCCUGAUGUUUUUAAUUAAGGUUUGUUGAUUUUUAUUCAGAUUUUAAACCAGGCCAAAAUAAAACGAUUAGUUAGUGAAAUUUAUUAGCUUUAGUAAUUUUUUUGGUUUGGAGACUGAUAGAUUAAUGGGAAGCUUAUCUUCUUUAUCUUAUCUAGAUUCUAGCAGCUUUCUCGCAUAACUCUUCUCAGAUUUGUAUUUGAUUAGGCUUUUUGAUUAUUUUUCUGGUGUGGUUUGGUUAGGGUUUUUAGUUUUUGAUGUUGUUUUCUUCACUACCUUGGUUAGAGAACAUGAAUAGGAGCUCUCUCUCCAUCUCGCAAAAAGUUUUUGAUUAGGUUACUCGGCAACAAAGUUUUAAAUUCUUGAACCACCCUCUUCAGGAAUUCAAUGAAGAUUUUGUCUCUUUUGGGUUUCUCAAUUAGCUUAUGAGUGAAUUGCAGUACUGGAAUAAUGACAAGCAGGUUCCCUACCCUAAAAUGAUAUUCAAUGAAUUUGUGCAAGAGCGCUGUCUCCAAAAGUCCGGUAAGAACCUGAACAAAUUAUCUUUGUGGACUCUCUCCUCUUCACAGACCGACCUAAGAAUAAUAUAACAAGGAAUCCAGUAGUCGCAUCCGGCAAUGUAAUUACCAACAUUGGGUUGGAUGGAGCCUGCAGAUUCAACAGUUGACACUUUUGGUUCAAUGUCCAUUCCAACGUAACCUCAUUACUGAACCAUUCUUUGCCUUUUUACUUUCUUAUAUUCGUCGACCUACACAUUUGGCAUUAACUGUAUGUAUCUGCUGUUGUAUACAUAUCCAUUCAUGCUUAAAAUUUUACGUCGUACUAUCUAGAAGAAUUUUAUGGACCGUCUGAUGAUGAUGACGACAUGGAUACACAGAGUAUUGUAAACCAGAAAGCUGAUCUAGACCUAUCUGGCUAGGAAUAAGCAAGUCUCAUUAAAACUGCACUGGUUAGGCAAUAAGCAGGACUCAUUAAAACUGCAGUAAUACGCACCUUUGUUCCAUCUACUUAUGAUGGAACAGCGUGUCCAAAAAUCAGCUGUCUCCUACAUUGCUAAGAAGUCAACCUUAUAUGAAAUGUGAUGUGGCAGAUAGCUAUUGAGUGGUGCAGAGCAGAUUCGUUGGAGAUAUCACACUUUGCCUUACAAAUGUUGACCUAUGAAGUGUAUGCAACAAUCAGUGAAUAUGCGAAAAAUCAAUGAACCACUGAACUGUACAAUGCCCUUGAUCACUUUUAGCUAAGUUACUUGAUUUUUCAUUUUCUUUUAUCUCGCUGUCGCUGAAUAGGAUAUAUCUAUAUAUUAUAUACGACGUUUCCGAUUUCAGGUUCAUGCUUGGUGAAAAAGCAUAUAACAUGCUUGGCGAAAAGGCAUAGAUGGUAGUUAGGAAUAUGAUUACCAGAAAGUAAGGGAAUUCAAAACACAUGGGUGAUGGUGGGUUUAGGACCCUCUCUAGAGAAUAUGGUUCCUGGGAUUGGGAUUCCCUUCCCACCAUCCAAAUAUGUUGUACGUGAUCACACCUAGAAGAUUUACACAAGGCCUUGAAGCUUUAUGAAGAAGAACAUGUAGCAGCUGGAUCCUAAACAAUUUUUUUUUUGCAAACACUUAGAGCACCCGAUGUAGCUUAUUUGGGACGUCUCGCAGCUGAUUUAUGGGCGAUGGACGAAGUGAUUUUUCCUCCAAACAUAUUCAUAUUCGAUUGGAUUCUUAUCUUGGAAUUUAAGGGUUCAGAUGUAUUCUGGAGAACACCACAACCCUGAGUAUUUUAUGAAAUGGUAUCUGCUGUCUUAGCUCAAACGGAAGAGCACGUGGUUCUCAACCAUGUAGUUGUGGUCGACUCCUACAGAUGGCAUUAUAUGUGAGUAGGCAGCGCUGUAUACUGCCAAUGGUUUCGUUAUUUGAUUCUCUCGGAGUGGGACUCCAACAUAAGAUUUGGAUGAAUAAUAAACUCUUGGCUAUGCUCUUGAGGUUUUGUUCUCUCGGAGUGGGACUCCAACAUAACAUAUGGAUGAAUAAUAAACUCUUGGCUAUACUCUUUAGGUUUUGUUCUUGAAGAAGCACGAUUCUGCCGUCAGCGCAUAUUCAACCAGAUGAAGUUUUGUUACAAAGUUCUUCAUUUAAUUCUGAUAGGUGCACUUUGGUUUCAUUCAGUUUUUGAAGGGAUAGCCAAUGGAAUUGCAGGUAUUCUACUAACCGUUGCAAUAUGCAACUGGACAAGACGUUCACCUACUUAGAAACGAUCCUGGGCUUGAUUGAGGGUGGAGAGUGGUUCUACAUGGUACAUAAGAAAUGCACUAAAAAAGUUGAUUAUGAUGAUGAGUCUUCCUACAGCAAGUGCAAAAAAGAUUUUGAAGAAGUGCCAUGGCAAUUGUAAUCCACAAAUUAAACCUAGCCGCAAGGGAUGCCACAUCAACUGCGGUAUUUACUGUGAUGGGAGAGACUGCAGAAAAAAACGGCGGAAAGUAGAUUAGAUGCACUGCUGAUGAACAUGUUAAUUACAAGGUACACUGCAGCGAGGUAUGCACAAAUUAACAUGGAUAAUUGUUAUGAUUGAAUGGAUGUUGUAAGGUGGAAUCAUGUUCACCAAGUUAUAUUGUCUAAUUGGAGGUCAACUAAGCAGAGCAGACAGAAAGUUGAUUUAACAAGAUCAAGAUGAAACUCUUAUUUUCAAAUUGGUCAUUAGGGAGUGCAGUAUAACCAACCAAUCUGGCAAAUUCACAGUUCUAAAAUUUUUCGAAGUCAGAUAAUUUUGAAUCGAAAGAUUCAGAUUCGGUUGCAGAUAACAAGGUACAACAUUAAUUAGGUACGGUAUGAUACGGAUUUGUCCUGUCUACAGGAUCCAGACGCAGAAAAUGUUGUGCCACCUAUCAAGGAGAAAGAGGAAAAAGUUAAGAGAGUAAGGAAGAGGAAACCAACAAUCAAAGUUGGAGUAACAGCAUGAAAGCACCAAGGACACCAGUCAAAACCGGUCAAAGCCGGAUAACUAUCAGGGAGACGGGCUUCUAGAUAUCAUCCUCAAGAAUCUUCCAAAUAAGAGAUAAAGAUAGUUGAUCCAUGAAUAUUCGAUCUUUCUGUUUGCCAAGCUCGACCUUGCGGGGGAGAAACCAAGGCCUUCGGACUGCAAAUUUAAAUUACCUCAGGGAGUUGUAAAUUACCAUUGGACCAAGUGUUGUUCUAUGUAUACUUUUAACCUAGGAAUCUACGAUGGCGUAGGACUGAGUGUGCACAAAAAUUCAAAAUAGGCUAAAUACAUUUGGUGAAUAAGAAUCUUAAAUUUCUAUGUAUACUUUUAACCUACAAAAAUUGAUGAUUUUUCUAAGCUUAAACCGUUAUAUGCUUCUUAGAAUUCUUGAUUA